UCGCUCCUACUGAUUGAGUGGUCCGGUAAAUAAUUUGGAUUGCGGCAGUGUUCAUUUCGCGAGCGCGGCUGUACAAAGUUUGGUGAACCUUAUCACUUAGAGGAAGGAG
Molecule: ribosomal RNA, 109 nt
Filed under: uncultured eukaryote
Lineage: Eukaryota
Description: partial small subunit ribosomal RNA
Source: RNAcentral